RNAcentral lists this ribosomal RNA (774 nucleotides) under uncultured Bacillota bacterium. RNAcentral describes it as "bacterial SSU rRNA". It matches the Rfam family "Bacterial small subunit ribosomal RNA", at positions 60 to 818 of the family's 1533-position model. Lineage: Bacteria; Bacillati; Bacillota. The record is from RNAcentral.
GUUCGAACGCGGUUAGUAGCAAUACUAACUGAGUGGCAAACGGGUGAGUAACACGUGGGUGACCUACCUUCGAGUGGGGGAUAACGUCCCGAAAGGGACGCUAAUACCGCAUAACAUCCUGUCCUUGAACGGAUGGAGAUCAAAGCCGGGGAUCGCAAGACCUGGCGCUUGAUGAGGGGCCCGCGUCUGAUUAGCUAGUUGGUGAGGUAACGGCCCACCAAGGCGACGAUCAGUAUCCGGCCUGAGAGGGCGGACGGACACACUGGGACUGAGACACGGCCCAGACUCCUACGGGAGGCAGCAGUGGGGAAUUGUUCACAAUGGGCGCAAGCCUGAUGACGCAACGCCGCGUGGAGGAUGAAGGUCUUCGGAUUGUAAACUCCUGUUGCUCGGGACGAAAAGCUUCGACCUAAUACGUCGAGGUCUGACGGUACCGAGUGAGGAAGCCCCGGCUAACUCUGUGCCAGCAGCCGCGGUAAUACAGAGGGGGCAAGCGUUGUUCGGAAUUACUGGGCGUAAAGGGCGCGUAGGCGGCCCGCUAAGUCGAACGUGAAAUCCCCGAGCUCACUCGGGGAACUGCGUCCGAUACUGGCGGGCUUGAAUCCGGGAGAGGGAUGCGGAAUUCCAGGUGUAGCGGUGAAUGCGUAAAUUUCUGGAGGAACACCGUUGGCGAAGGCGGCAUCCUGGACCGGCUUUGACGCUUAGGCGCGAAAGCUAGGGGAGCAAACGGGAAUUAAAUACCCCGGUUGUCCUAGCCCUAAACGAUAAAGGCUU